GCAUAUCACUAAGCGGAGGAAAAGAAACUAACAAGGAUUCCCUCAGUAACGGCGAGUGAAGAGGGAAAAGCCCAGCACCGAAGCCUGUGUCCAUUUGGUCACUAGGCAAUGUGGUGUUCAGGUCGUUCCGCAGAGGCACUGCUCCACUCCAAGUCCAACAAUGAGUACGGUAGUACGGACAUGGCCCAAAGAGGGUGAAAGGCCCGUGGGGGUGGAGAUUUCAGGCAGGCCAGUGUCUCUCUGGGUAGACCUUGGAGUCGGGUUGUUUGUGAAUGCAGCCCAAAGUGGGUGGUAAACUCCAUCCAAGGCUAAAUACUAGCACGAGUCCGAUAGCGAACAAGUACCGUGAGGGAAAGUUGAAAAGUACUUUGAAGAGAGAGUAAACAGUGCGUGAAACCGCUCAGAGGUAAACGGGUGGAGUUGAACUGCAAGCUCUGGGGAUUCAGCUGGUGAGUGUGAAUUGAGCUGGGUCAAAUUGGUUGGACUUCGGGGUCUGUGUAGUAGCAGGUCUCCGCUCUCGGGUGGGGAUGCGCGAUACACUUAUCAAGUGUUGUGCGCCCUGGGGUUCUUCGAGCCAACUUGCCAGUGCACUUUCUCAGAGUGGUCACCACGACCGGCACUGCUGUCUGGCUGUUGCGGUUAAACCGGUUUUGCAUUGGUGUCAUGCCUUUGCUUGAUCGGGAUGGCAGGUAGCUCGUUGGCUUGUCUGUGGCUUGCUGCAGGCUUCCGGCUUUCGGGUGUAAUCAGCUGACUGUGACGGUUCUGUGCAGUGUGUCGGAGACGGCGGCUUGUGGUGUGUCUGUGUGUGCCUAUUGCUGGCGUGUUCGGGUUUGGUCGCUAUGUUGCUUGUUCAAGCAGGCCUGGUGAUAGCUCGGAUUCGUUCGGCGGUAUGGUUGCAAAUGGGACACCUUUUAUCCAGGGCCAACAGUCUGUGGUGUAGUGGUAGACUAUCCACCUGACC
This 961-nucleotide ribosomal RNA is filed under the name Cercaria capricornia. RNAcentral describes it as "eukaryotic LSU rRNA". It matches the Rfam family "Eukaryotic large subunit ribosomal RNA", at positions 38 to 649 of the family's 3401-position model. Lineage: Eukaryota; Metazoa; Platyhelminthes; Trematoda. The record is from RNAcentral.